CGCCUCAUGCCUGAAAGGGCGACAGCGAAUGUUGGAGCGAGGAGUCAGCUGAGGUCGUAGUAGUGCCAGUAGCGGGCCGCUGAGGCACAAGCCAACGCACGAAGGAC
Molecule: non-coding RNA, 107 nt
Organism: Polaromonas sp. JS666
Lineage: Bacteria; Pseudomonadati; Pseudomonadota; Betaproteobacteria; Burkholderiales; Comamonadaceae
Source: Rfam